GCCUAGUGGUUAGAGUGUAGAGGUGGCAGGUAGCCUAGUGGUUAGAGUGUAGAGGCGGCAGGUAGCCUAGUGGUUAGAGUGUAGAGGAGGUAGGGUAGCCUAGUGGUUAGAGUGUAGAGGAGGCAGGUAGCCUAGUGGUUAGAGUGUAGAGGCGGCAGGUCGCCUAGUGGUUAGAGUGUAGAGGUGGCAACGUAGCCUAGUGGUUAGAGUGUAGAGGCGGCAGGUAGCCUAGUGGUUAGAGUGUAGAGGUGGCAAUGUAGCCUAGUGGUUAGAGUGUAGAGGCGGCAGGUAGCCUAGUGGUUAGAGCAUUGGACUCGUCACCAGAUCAAAUCCCCGAGCUGAUAAGGUCCAAAUCUGUCCUUCUGCCCUUCAACAAGGCAGUUAACCCACUGUUCCCCCGUAGGCAGUCAUUGAAAAUGAGAAUGUGUUCUUAACAG
Molecule: long non-coding RNA, 437 nt
Organism: Oncorhynchus tshawytscha (Chinook salmon)
Lineage: Eukaryota; Metazoa; Chordata; Actinopteri; Salmoniformes; Salmonidae
Source: Ensembl